UACGUAGGGGGCUAGCGUUGUCCGGAUUUAUUGGGCGUAAAGAGCGUGUAGGCGGCCAGGUAGGUCUGCUGUGAAAACUCGAGGCUCAACCUCGAGACGUCGGCGGAAACCAUCUGGCUAGAGUCCGGAAGAGGAGAGUGGAAUUCCUGGUGUAGCGGUGAAAUGCGCAGAUAUCAGGAAGAACACCAGUGGCGAAGGCGGCUCACUGGACCGGUACUGACGCUGAGGCGCGAAAGCGUGGGGAGCAAACGGG
Molecule: ribosomal RNA, 253 nt
Filed under: uncultured bacterium
Lineage: Bacteria
Description: partial 16S ribosomal RNA
Rfam family: Bacterial small subunit ribosomal RNA
Source: RNAcentral